Sycon ciliatum is the source of this 2206-nucleotide long non-coding RNA. RefSeq lists it as uncharacterized. Lineage: Eukaryota; Metazoa; Porifera; Calcarea; Leucosolenida; Sycettidae. The transcript is spliced from 2 exons. The record is from RefSeq and is a predicted model, not a curated record.
GCUCUUUCGUCCUCUUUUCUUCUUAUAAAUUAAUCUUUGGCUCUCCACCCGAGUCUAAUACUGAAGUCCACUGCGGCAUCAAGAAUGAUGGUCACUCCACCAAUGCAACGCCCGGACACUCAGGCGGUCACGGCGGACAGUGGAUGAAACUAGGUAGAAGAAACCGAAUCAAGUCAACCUGGACUGAGCUGCCUGCCUUUUUAUCAGCGAUGCACAAUCCACUCAGCUUCUCAACGUGUUCGCUAGUUCAGUCCUGAUGUCCGUCUUGUGUCCGUCAAUGAAGAAAAAACUUGCUUUUGAAAGGUCAUCAUGCCUUCCCGUUCAUUAUUGUCUCCGUGAGGUGCAGAAAGCGAAGGUGAAGCGUGGUCGUGGUGCACCGUUGGUAUGCAGAGCAUUUUGAUAUCUGAUCGUGCCUACAUGUAUGUGUAUGUGUAUGUGUAUGUGUAUGUGUAUGUGUAUGUGUAUGUGUAUGUGUAUGUGCAUGUGUAUGUGUAUGUGUAUGUGGUGAAGAUGUUGUCUACAGUAUACUAUGCACGCUUUGUCAAGACUUGAUCUGUAUGUACAUGUAUGUAGGGGAAACCGAGGGGCCGGCGCGGGAGCGGUUUCAGGAACACUACCAGGACGGGCGGAAGAUGGUGGAGAAGGCUCCAUGAGCUACCCAGCUACGAAACCCACCACCGAGGAUAUCUUCACACAUCAUCUUCUCUUUAUUUCAAAGUUUGAUAUUUGCUGAGUCGAAGAUUUGAUGGACUUCUCGUGUGUUUGCAAUAGACCGAUCCCCUUAUUAUACUGGGUUCGAGCACGGGGGCAACCUCACUCGCGAUCGAGCUAGUUUUUGAACGUGACAGCAUCUUUGACAGUGUGUUUCAGGUUUGUUUUGGAAUGUCUUCUGCUUAGUUCAAGUAGUUUGCGAUGGCUUCGAGCGGUGCUAAACCUCCUGCUGGUAGGAGCAGAGUCUCCGAGAGAGACAUGGACUGUGAUGCCGCUGCAGGAUUUUUUCAAGGCGCGGGAGGGAACGAUCUCGGGCCACAAACAGGAGUAUUCCAGAGAGCCAUCUUCUAUGAAGGCAACCGUGGUGCUGCCAAGUCACCAAGUCACGAUCAGCAGCCCUGAAGUGGAAAAAUCGAUUUUCCAACGAUCUGGUUGGACAUCAGCCACUAAAGUACUUCUGAUUUGCCUGUAGUGACAACAGCAGCCAUCCUUGGACACCUUGCAAAGACAGAAAAAGCCACUGGUGGAAGCGACUGCUAUGAGGUGACGAUAGCAGUGCAGUGGUGAUCGCUGUUUUGUCAAGUCGAAGGGCUAGCCAACCCAGAGGAAGCAUAAAAAAACGAUGAGCAGUGCGUGGUAUUUGUUGAGCGUGAAGAGCUAGAGGAGGACAGUGCAAACACAUGGACGGAGUGGAUGGUGUUUGAAGAACAGUGUGCUGUGUGCCGGCUGGUGGUGAUGGUGGUCUUUGUCAGCAUGUAUUCGUGCUGCUUCUUGUGCUGGAACACUUCUCGCCCAGGAAGGCAGAUUGCGUGCUCCCUGGCCCUCAGUUGGCAAUGGGGCAUUUGUUCCAGGAACAUUACCCCAGAGCCAAUGAUGAGUCGUACCUUUGAAAAGUCGAAGCUUGCUGUUAAUCGCAAGCGUAGCGCAGUGGAUUCCUCCCUCUUCGAAGCACGAGGGCCAAAGCUUGCCGCUGUCUGCAGCAAAGUGUGUGUGCGGUUCUUUCGAACCUAUGAAUAUACCCCCCUGCAUGUUCAGAGUGAACUAUUUUCUAGUAUAUUUAACAUCCUCAACCCGCCACCACCAUGCGCCCUUGGAUCGAACUAAUGCACGAAGCAUAAACACACCAGCACAGCAAGGACACUUCCGUUGACAGAUAUUGUUUACGCCUCUAGACCGCUGUUUCUUUUCUUCGAGCUCAUCGUUAGAGGAGGAUAGCAGCAGGAUACUAAUGAUGAUAUAAUAUAAGAUGAUAGACGGUUUAUGGUCCGAUAUUGAUGAUUGAAGAUCUAAGAAAGCAAUGACAGUGAUUGCGAAAUGGAUAAUAUUAUCAUGAUUAUAUGCCAGUCUGGUAAUGCGUUGUACUAGUGGACAGUAUUGAAAUCAUCACUGCAUUCGAUGCAAAUAUUGGUAUACCUUUGGUUUCAGUAUUGGAAAAAAAGAGUAAGAGAACCUGGUUGAUUUGGUUGCAUCUGCGACUGGCUACCGGGUGUUGUGA